This 253-nucleotide ribosomal RNA is filed under the name uncultured bacterium. RNAcentral's name for it is "partial 16S ribosomal RNA". It matches the Rfam family "Bacterial small subunit ribosomal RNA", at positions 524 to 776 of the family's 1533-position model. The record is from RNAcentral.
UACGGGGGGGGCAGGCGUUGUUCGGAAUUACUGGGCGUAAAGGGCUCGUAGGCGGCCAACUAAGUCCGACGUGAAAUCCCCAGGCUUAACCUGGGAACUGCGUCGGAUACUGGAUGGCUUGAAUCCGGGAGAGGGAUGCGGAAUUCCAGGUGUAGCGGUGAAAUGCGCAGAUAUCAGGAGGAACACCGGUGGCGAAGGCGGGUCUCUGGGCAACAACUGACGCUGAGGAGCGAAAGCGUGGGGAGCGAACAGG